UUUUUUUUUUUUUUUGGAUAGAGUUUGCUUUAAUUCAUCUACUCUUUUCUUUAGUUGCCCAGGCUUUUGGUGUCAUAUCUAAGAAUCCUUUGGCAAUGGCAAGAUCACAAAGGCCUACCCCUAUGUUUUUCUAUAAGAGUUUCACUAUUUUUUUUUUUGUCUUUUUGCUAUUUUUGGGGGCCACUCCCGCGGCAUAUGGAGAUUUUAAAAAUAUGCUAAGCCUGAUUUCCCAUCAUGGCUAAGUGGUUAGCGAACCUGACUAGCAUUCAUGAGAACGCAGGUUAGAUCCCUGGCCUUGCUCAGUGGGUUAAGGAUCCAGUGUUGCCAUGAGCUGUGGUGUGGGUCGCAGAUGCGGCUUGGAUCCCCUGUUGCUGUGGCUGUGGUGUAGGCCAGUGGCUACAGUUGUGACUGGUCCCCUAGCCUGGGAACCUCCAUAUGCCAAGGGUGCAGCACCAAAAAGACAAAAAGACCAAAAAAAAAAAAAAUGCUUAGCCUGAAGGGCUUCUGAGUUCUAAAAACAGGCAGAGCCAUCUGUACGCAUGUGGACAUUAAUAAAUGAGGCUGGAGCAAGAGGGAAAGCAACGUGGAUGGUUAAAAGCCCAGAAUGCCUGGCACGGACAUGUGGAGGUGUCGUCCGACCUGAAGAAGGCGAGACUCGACUCGGCCCUAGCAUCUUGGCCCCGGCACUGGAGCAGCCUGCUCACCCAGCUUGCUAGCUCACAUCCCCCGACUCCAUGGCCCCGGGAGGCUCAGAGGGCCCUGGAUGGCCCCUGUCAUAGCUGAGGAGUAGCCAGGCAGUGGCCCACCUGGCUUCUGCCAGGGCCUCACCAAGUUUCUCAAGAACAUCGAGUUCUCCACACCAGGGCCCUGGGGGCAGGGCCUGCUUCAACCAUCCUCAAGGCUCCAAAAUAAACAGGUUCCCAAACCAAACUGCUAUUUUCAGCUCUCGCAGCCAGAGCUGUAUCACAAUUCAUAAAGGUCCCCAAUGCUGGGGUCAGGGGACCAUGCUCCAACCAGAUGGAGUCACACCCCUGGAGCUGGACUACCUUCUAGAGCUCUGCCCAUCGUCCCCUAGAAAUAGCCUGACACAGGCUCUCCCUCGGAUGUUCUAGGAAGCUCUCCAAGGCACAGCUGUCACACAAAGGUGCGGAAACAGUGGCAGCAACCAAGUGCCCCACAGAGAAAGAUGAAGCAUGAUACAAGAGAUUCCAAGGCCACACCAAGGCUGCUGUAGAAUCAUCUUCCCAUACAUGGCUGGACCAUGCAACCUUAGGAGAGAGGCACAAGGUCACACACACUUAGGGCUCCCUACCUGGCAAGGAACAGAAAGCCCCUCAAAGAGGUGGCAGGAGCAAACUCCAUGAAGGGGCCGCCACAGAAGCACAGGCAAGGGUGGGGAGCUGCCCACCCCAGUCCUCUGGAACAGGGGGCGCUUACAGACCCCAAAGGCUUGCCAGGAGCCCCUCAGCAGGAGCUGCGGAUGGAGGGAGGGACACCCCAGUCUCUCUCCAUCCUGCCCGUGCCUCUCAAGUGAGUCAACAGGACCUGGAGGGCAUCCUCCCAGGCCUGGACCUCGGCAGGGGAUGGGAAGUGAGCACAGAGCCGGUCCAUCGGAGGGGGGCUGGAGGGGGGGGUCCUCUCACAGAAUCAGACCACAGUCAAUCAGUGCACUCUUACACACGCUCACCCCUCAUCCUGCCCCUUCCCCAAGUUGCUGACCUUUGGGUCCCCCGGCCUGGAAUAGCUUAUGACGCAGGACACAGGGUGUUGCUCAGGAGGUGAAGUGAACCAGGUGCAGACCUGCACGGGCUGUUGGAGCCCAGCAUGGGCACAGAGCUCCAGCAUCCAGACAGCAGCCCACACUGCAGGCCAGUGAAGAGGAUUUUCACUUUGCUCUUAGCACUUCUUUUUUUCCUGACCAACCAAAGUGAACAUGGCACAGGUUUGUUGGCUGGCUUGCUUUGUUUUUUUUUUUAAAGUAACUUUCCUGAAUGGUGCAACCACCCCCAUCCAUCAGUUUGCAAACAUUUUCUUCCAGUAAGACCCCUCGUGCCCAGUUACAUGCACUUCACCCCUUUCCCAUCACCAGCCACCAGGCUUUUCUGUCCGGCUUCUUUCUUGGGCACCACAUUUUUCAGGUUCACCCAUGACACAGGAUGUAUCUGCAGCCCACUCCUUUUUAGGGGCUGAGUAGUAUUCCACUGUGCAUAUGCAGCACAUGUUGUCUGUGUAUUCACACUGUCCCCUAGGGCUUUACCACUCUGAAGCCGCUGAGAGGAGCCCUGCUCUCCAGAAAGACAGAGCAGGGGCACCUCCACAGCUGGGCCAGCAGCCUGGGACCGAGCCAGCUCCAAACCUGGCUCAUUCCAGCCCCUUCCCCUACCUUGUGCCUGAUCACUAUGAUUUACUUAGCAUUCUCCUU
RNAcentral lists this long non-coding RNA (2422 nucleotides) under Sus scrofa (pig). RNAcentral describes it as "lncRNA (ENSSSCG00050040423.1)". Lineage: Eukaryota; Metazoa; Chordata; Mammalia; Artiodactyla; Suidae. The record is from RNAcentral.